Molecule: ribosomal RNA, 253 nt
Filed under: uncultured bacterium
Lineage: Bacteria
Description: partial 16S ribosomal RNA
Rfam family: Bacterial small subunit ribosomal RNA
Source: RNAcentral
UACGGAGGGUGCAAACGUUGCUCGGAAUCAUUGGGCGUAAAGCGCACGUAGGCGGCCCAGCAAGUCGGGUGUGAAAGCCCUCGGCUUAACCGAGGAAGUGCAUUCGAAACUACUGAGCUUGAAUACUGGAGAGGAUCGCGGAAUUCCCGGUGUAGAGGUGAAAUUCGUAGAUAUCGGGAGGAACACCAGUGGCGAAGGCGGCGAUCUGGGAAGAUACUGAUGCUGAGGUGCGAAAGCGUGGGGAGCAAACAGG